RNAcentral lists this long non-coding RNA (1870 nucleotides) under Pan troglodytes (chimpanzee). RNAcentral describes it as "long non-coding RNA NONPTRT012351". Lineage: Eukaryota; Metazoa; Chordata; Mammalia; Primates; Hominidae. The record is from RNAcentral.
CACCCACUGAUGGACAUGUGGCUAUUCGGAAUGACAUUGCUGCAAACACACAUGUGCUCCUGGAGACACUUUGGAGGCCACGCCUACAGGAUGUGCGGAAGGAUGUGCAGUGAGAAACUAGGAGGAGAGCCGAGGCGGGUUUCCAGGUGUGAGGCCCAGGCACCCGUAGAAACAGAGAUGGAGGAGAAUGGAGGGGGCGGGUUGGGGGCAGGUGAGAUGGGGGGGGCCUGGCAGACGUCCACAUGGAGACAAUAAGGAGGCAGCUGUCCCAACAAGUGCAGUGUCAGGGCAGAGGUCCCGGCUGGAGAUACAAGUGUGAGGCACCAAGGGCAAGGGACCUAGAGCUGGUGCCAGUGGAUGGCCUGGCUCCACAGGAGGCUGCGUGGGUGGGGAAGGCCAGCGCCCGUGCCGGGGUGCAGGGCACCGACACGGGAGGCCAUCAGUGAUCCGACGGGUGGUCAUGGUGGGCUGCUUGGGGGAGCGACCAGAACACAGAGCAGUGGGCUUGCAUGAGGGCACCCAGACAGCUUUUUCAAGGGCUUCUGCUGAAAAGAGGGCCAGGAGCUACGAAGUGGCAGCUCGAGAGACGGCAGCCAAGCGGGGCUGCUACAUGGUUGCUGCUUUAGAGACAGGAGAGGUCAUGGCAGGUUUUCACCUAUAUGGGAGUCACAGACUGGGAGAGACCAGUACAAGAGAGGAGCACUGCAGGAAGCUCUUGAGAAGGAAAAUAGGUGAGAUCCAGCACAAGGUGGGGCGAGAUCCAGGGCACAAGGUGGGGACCGAGAUCCAGGACACAAGAGUGGGGCAAGAUCCAGCACACAAGGCGGGGGCGAGAUCGAGGGUACAAGGAGGAGCGAGAUCCAGGGCACAAGGUGGGGGCCAAGAUCCAGCGCACAAUAGGUGGUGAGAGCCAGGGCACAAUGGGGGGUCGAGAUCCAGGGCACAAGCGGGGGCAAGAUCGAGGGCACAAGGGGGGUGUGAGAUCCAGUGCACAAGGUCAGUGGCGAGAUCGAGGGCACAAGGAGGGGCGAGAUCUAGGGCACAAGGUGGGGUGAGAUCCAGGGCACAAGCGUGGAGGUGAGAUCCAGGGCACAAGCGUGGAGGUGAGAUCCAGGGCACAAGCGUGGAGGUGAGAUCCAGUGCACAGAGUGGGGUGAUAACCAGUGCACAAUGUGGGGGGUUGAGAUCCAGCCCUGCAUUGGGGGGUGCAGCAGGGGUGUGGCUAACUACAAAGCUGCACCAACAGCCUGUCCGUCUGUCCAGUCCUGUGUGUUCACGCCUCUCCUCCUGUCCAGAGGUGAAAUCUCUGCCCCUCUUUGCGGAGCUGGGCUGGCCCGUGACUUGCCUAGACUGUGAGAAUGCCAGCAUUCCCCUACCACGCCCCUGACCAUGCUGCCCCCAACCAUGUCCCCAAGCCAGCUAUACCCUCGCAAGAAAGCACCCAGGAAGGCCGGGGCCUCUGACAUCUGGUUCUCUGCCAAGUCCCAAGCUCAAAGCCUGGCACAUCAUACAUACCCAGUUCAUGUUUGUUGAAUGAAUACGUGACUGUUUUAACUCCGUGCCUAUUUUGAGAGGGUCAGGGAGGGGAUCACUGCCUCCUUCCGUUGCACCAGGUGGCCUACAGAGAAGCCGCCUGCCUCCCACCCAGCAAGUGGCGAUACUCGGAUCCCAAGUGCAGAGCAGAGCGGAAGAAACAGUGCAGGCCCCUGACUUGGAGCAGAGCUCGGAACAGGGCCCAGGACACCAUCUGGACCCAAACCCUGCUGGACGUGAGCCGUACCAGUCACGUGGGCCACAUGGGGCUGCGUGCCCUGUCACCCACGUCAAAGCUUCCUCAGCACAAGGUGGAGGAACAGGGCAGGGCGCCCAC